Molecule: ribosomal RNA, 252 nt
Filed under: uncultured bacterium
Lineage: Bacteria
Description: partial 16S ribosomal RNA
Rfam family: Bacterial small subunit ribosomal RNA
Source: RNAcentral
ACGGAGGGUGCAAGCGUUAUCCGGAAUCAUUGGGUUUAAAGGGUCCGUAGGCGGACUAAUAAGUCAGAGGUGAAAUCCCGCAGCUCAACUGUGGAACUGCCUUUGAAACUGUUAGUCUUGAGUUAUUGUGAAGUGGUUAGAAUAUGUAGUGUAGCGGUGAAAUGCUUAGAGAUUACAUGGAAUACCGAUUGCGAAGGCAGAUCACUAACAAUAUACUGACGCUGAUGGACGAAAGCGUGGGGAGCGAACAGG